RNAcentral lists this non-coding RNA (22 nucleotides) under Arabidopsis thaliana (thale cress). Lineage: Eukaryota; Viridiplantae; Streptophyta; Magnoliopsida; Brassicales; Brassicaceae. The record is from RNAcentral.
CUUCAACCGUCUCCAAGGUGUC